This 166-nucleotide unclassified non-coding RNA is filed under the name uncultured fungus. Its description in RNAcentral is "sequence contains ITS1". Lineage: Eukaryota; Fungi. The record is from RNAcentral.
UUGAUUUAUUUAAUCAUUUACUCAGAAGAUACUGUAUAAAAUCAAGGGUUUGGGUCCUCUGGCGGGCUGCCGAAGCAGGCACCGCCGAGGCAACAAAUGGUAUGUUCACAGGGGUUUGGGAGUUGUAAACUCGGUAAUGAUCCCUCCGCUGGUUCACCAACGGAGA